Molecule: ribosomal RNA, 230 nt
Filed under: uncultured bacterium
Lineage: Bacteria
Description: partial 16S ribosomal RNA
Rfam family: Bacterial small subunit ribosomal RNA
Source: RNAcentral
UGGGCAACCUACCCUUGACUCUGGGAUAACUCCGGGAAACCGGAGCUAAUACCGGAUAUGAACACGAAGGACAUCCUUUGUGUUGCAAAGUUUUUCGGUCAGGGAUGGGCCCGCGGCCUAUCAGCUUGUUGGUGGGGUAAUGGCCUACCAAGGCGACGACGGGUAGCCGGCCUGAGAGGGCGACCGGCCACACUGGGACUGAGACACGGCCCAGACUCCUACGGGAGGCA